CAACAACAUCAUUCUGUGGCAGUUGGUUGUCAGAGAAAAGAGAACCUUCAGAAUUCAGAGAAGCUAUUUCUUCUACAACAUUCUAUGGCAGUUAGUAAUGUGAAAGGGGAAGCCCAAAUACCCAGAAAGCUUUAUACCUCCUAUGCUAAGCAUGAGGCAUGUUUGGCCAUAGUUAUCUGGGUUCUACCUCUUUAACCUAAUUAAAUAAUUUACUAUCUUUGUUAAAAUAUAUAUUAUAUAAAUUCAUUUCAGGCAGGGAUCAAAAUCACAUAUAUAGGGAGUUUUGGAGUAUACUAAGAACAGAGCCUCCUGCUUUGGAACCCACACCCAAGUUGAAAUGGACUUUUCUCUAUCCCUCUUUAUUCUCUCCCCCAGCCUCAACACAAAACACAUAAAGAAAUCUUCAUUGACAUGGAGGAUGGGCACAAAGACCCAUCAAUCAUAUCUCUCAGUUGCCAGUCCAUCCCCGAGAAUUUCUAAGACAUAAUCUUGAACUAUAUUGUUUACUUCCUAUGUCUCUCACCACCCCAUAUCCCAAAUUAGAAAGCCAAGGGGUCAUCCAGGGUGCUGGUGUAAGUAAUAUCCAGAGAAACAGAGGCAAGCAGAGAUUGGUUUUUAAUCUUUAAUGUGGAGUUUAAGCUAGCUGACAAGAUGCAACUCUUGUCCAAAGCAUUCAGAGCAGACAAACUGAGGCAGAGAAUUUAUAUAGUAGCUAACUAGGGUUUGCAAAGAGAAUACAUAACCUGAAUAUACAAUCUUGUAAGGGAAACAAAGGCAGAUAAAGGGGGGAAAGGAUACUGGAUAGAUGGACAAGCCAUAAUUCCAGGAAAGGAUCAUAAUUUAAUCGUGACAGGAUAGAGGACAAGAUAAGGUUGAGGGCACAAGACAGUGAGGUGUGAAGUGUAUUACUCAACAGGAGGAGGAAUUAUCCUAACAAGUAUGAGAUAAUGCACCUGGAGUUUAUGACACAAUGAUUUCCCUUCUUCAAGAAUCCCCAAUAAAUUUGGAAACACCCCUGAAAAGAGAUGGACUGAGUCUUCAAGAAGAUCCCAGAUACUGUCCAGUCUACAAUGGUUGGUUUUCUUAGAUUUCCCACUAGGGGUGGACUCACUCUUCUCAGGACAGGGGGACAGAGCCCCUAAAGGGCCCAAUAUUUGGGGAGGUAGAUAAUUGUUGGGGGGCCCAGGAUCUGGUCUAGUAGCUGGGUUAGAAUGAAAGUCAUAAAACAUGGACAAAAGAUGAUUUGCAGAGAGGUUCCAGAUUCUUGAAGAGACUAACUCUCCACUAAUGCUCAAAGUGGAAACAUCUCUAUGUGGCUUGGAUAGCUGCUACCCAUUUCCCCAAGCAAAGAGAGCCUAAUAACUCUAGGGGAGUUCAAGUAACAGAGUCAGAAUCAGCCUUUUGGAGAACCUAACUCAUUAAUCAAUAUUUCACUUACAAUGUGACAUACACUAAAACAACAAACUUUGAGGAACUUUGAGGAAUCAGUUUUUUAUUGAGUCAAUAAAAAAAUGUAAAGACUAUCCUUCCAAAUAAAUACCAGAGGCUUCUAUACCUAGGAUAUGUUUGUCAGACGUUUGGGAGUAUUGUGAUGGAUGAAGAUGUGAUAAAGCUGCUAACUUAAACCCCUCAAAUUGCCAGAGAACAGGGUAAGCAGUUGAUAAGUAGCUUGACAGCAUUCAUGUCAAGCUGGAGACUCAGACUUCAAGGAGAUGGCAGGUAUGGGCCCAAUUCUGAUAGUUGGAUGGGACAAGGGACACAAAAUCUAACAGGAAGUGGCUUGGGGAAAAGGAACAACCACUGAAGAAGUUUAUUUCCUUUGGAUGUAAAAGAAUGGAGGCCUUGGUCAAUCGGAGCAAGAACUAUGGAAAAGACAGGGAUGGGGGCAACACCACAGUUUUUAAUCUCACACCCAGAUGCAGCACCUAGGAAGGAAGUGAGGAAGGAAGUGUAUUCAUUCCUGUUCUUCUGAAUAUCCUCCUUCCCACUUGAUAAGGGCCUGAGAACAAGUCUAGCAUCUGGGCUAUAAGAGAGUUCUUAUGGGGAAGGCACACCUUCCCUAGCCAUCUCUGGAAUCUCUGCCCUAGAGCAUGAAAUGAUAGUCUAUGGUCUACCCUGCUUUGAAGAACUUUUCUCUGGUUCUCUUCUGGGGACAGCUGUAGGCAAAGUUGUGAAGUAAGUGAUGUUCGUCCUCAGUCCCUACUUACAUAUACUUUCAAUGACCUCCCAGUCUUUUUCACUUAUUCAUAGCAUCCACCUUUUCUAUGGACCAAAUUGUGUUCUCUCUAUCCUCCCCCUUAACCAAAAGCUAAUGUCCACAGCUAUCUGUUGAAAAGGCCUUGAUAACUUAUUGCCUUCAUCUCAAGAUUCUAGUUCAAGAGACAUUCUGCAGGUAAAACAUACCUAGCUCAAUAGCCUUUAGUGAUUACAAUUCAGUAGGAAGAUGGAGGAUGGUCCACACAAAAUUGAAAGCAGAUGUGGGAAGCCCAUGGUGGGGGCUUUUACCCUUCAGAGGGACAAAGAAGGCAGUGGAGAGGGGAGGAUUUUCUAGAAGACUUGGAUGUUCACAAAGGAAUCGGCCUGGAGAAGUAUCCCCAAGGUGUAUGUUAGCCUUCUCCCUUUAAGUUAGGCAGAUGGAAAAGUUGAGAAUUCUUUUUUUGCUGUUGUUUUUUGCAUUCUCAUGGGAGUGGUCAGCAGGAGACACUAAGGAGUCAUUCACUAAAGGUUUCUUCUAUCUUUGUCUUAAGGCAUUCAUUCAUAUACUCUGGUGAAAAAGACUGGUAAUACCUUAGGAUGUUGCUUUUCCUGAGAAUAUCUACAUUUUAAUAAGGGAUAACCAAACCCAAGGAAUGAAGCUCAAGCAAUAAUGGAUUUUCAGACAUUGGCUUAAGAUCAUUUUGAAAGAUACUCUGGGGUCAAGGAGUACUUUUCCACUUUGAAAUUAUGCCAUCUAGGCAGCUGUCCACUAUACCAAUGCAGAGAAAUAAACUUUUAAAGAAACUUUUAUUUCCUUCUGGAGAAAUAAAAAUAUUCCUUUUAUUCCUAUUGCUCUUCUGUCAAUGACCCCAGCUGUUCAAUCCAUGCACCCUUACCUAAAAUAAUUCGGCCUAUCAUUGGAUUGGAUUUAGUUUAUUUCUCCAGCUUCCCUCCCUCUUCACCCUGGUUUGAGUGGCUGGCUCAGGGGCACAGAGAAGUCUAGGUCUCUAGAGAGAGAAGCUGCUAAAAUUGGGGGCUAGGGAAAAUGAUUAUCAUGGUCAUAGGCUUGCAUGGCACUAUCAGCAGCUGGAUCUAGAAAGAGGCCCCAUUGGUACCCUUGCCACUUAGGAGAUUAAUGACCUCAUUUAGCCAGGUCCAUGUCUUAAAAAGAGCCACAAGGUUAGAGUAGUCUCCACAAAAAAAAAAAAAAAAAAAAAAAAAGAGAGAGAGAGAGGAAGAAACUCUGUUUAAGUGCCCAUUAGGAAAAGGGAGGAAGACGGCACAUUCAUUAGACCAAAGAAGCCCUGAGUGAACAGAAAGAUCAUCUUUUGGGGAGCAUUAGCAUUCCUCUUGGAAUUAGAUGCCAAUUCCCCAGCUCAUUCUCUGAUGGUCAUCAACCCAAGACAUCAUCCAUGAAGGGAAGAAGGUACUUCCCCAUCAUUCCCAUGAUAUAUAGGGGACUAUAGUAAGAGCUCUUGCGGGAAUAUUCUGUCUCUGAGCCCUGCAAUCCUGAACUUAGUACUAUAGGAUAAACCUAAUCAACCAAUCAUUGUAAGGUCUCUAUCUAGAAUGAAGUUUGGGGACCAUUCAGUAGGUAUUUCAGUGCCAAUUUUUUCCUUCCUACCCCAGGACAGGAAGAGAUAAGAAUAGGGAAAGAGGAAACUUAUCUGGAAAGAGUCUUUGAAGAUCUAGAAGGGCACUGAAGGGUUGGUGAGGAUAAAAAAAAAGGCAAAGAAAUUGUGUGUGAACCCUUCUUACAGAGUACAGAAGGAAUACCAGAGACAGAUGAGGAAACAAGGCUCCUUUUCCAUUCUUGUUUCUCCUACAUCCACCCUCUCAUCCUUCUCUUGAACAUAGAAAUGAGUCCUAAAGCUGAAUGGGAAAGACUUGGAUGGUCCUGGGCACUGAACCUUUACAUUCCAACUUCUCCUCUCAAGCUUGUUUGGAAUCUCAAAAGACCAGAACCAUCAUUGUUUCCACACUUGGAACCACAGAGCAAAUAUAAGUGAAGGACAAAAGGUCAGGCAACUUUUCAGAAAAUAUAAGAAUUUGAACUUGGUCUAGCCACUUGGGGAAGCUACUUAAAAAGAGAAUGGAUUCCCUCAAAAAGAGCUCCAAGCCUAAAAGGAAUCCAGCUCAUAAGCACAUGGCUCUGAUACUUAGUAAGGUCCUGAUCUUGAAGGAGGUAAAAGCCCAUUCUUCCUUUACUCCAGGGUGGCCCCAAAUCUGGAAGUCUUAUAAUAGAGCAAUGGAGAAUGCUUUGGCUACAUAAACGGACCAGUUACUUUCUUUCCCCAAUAUUUAAUAAGGUUUAUUUCUCUAUGGAUCUGUUUUGUACAAUUAUCCUAUGGAAAACCUAGAAAGAGUCCCUAUCUUCAUCCCUGUCCCUUUUCUUCCAACCCAUUUACCCAAAGGCAAUAUGGCUACUUUAUGGAGCUUGCUUACAAUUUUCUCACAGUAUCUUAUUUGUUUCAUCUGCUCCAGAACUGGGAUUACACAUAAAUCCUGUCACCAAAACAAAGUUAGGAACUAUCUCCUGGUCUCCUUCAUCCUCCCAAUACCACAUUCUUUUCCCCCAGAUCUUUCUUUUCUCAAUUCUCAUUUAACACUUAAUUCUGAGCUCAAGAAGGGAUUGGGCUAUGUUAAAAUGAUUUGUUUUCUUGCAGCAUUUCCUUCAUCUGUAAGCAAAUACACAACUUUCUAGAUCAUCAUGGACCUGUCAAGAUAUAUCUAGAGCUCAAAAGAAAGUGGGGAACCUGAUGUCUACCAAUCUCCAUCAUUCAUGUCUCAUUCAUCUAAGAACCUCCUGACCCUUGCCCAAAUUCUUUUCCUUCCUUUUGUUCCUGGAAAACCUAAUUAAGUAGAGAAAAUAUGGGUUACUUUGUGAUUGGUACUGAAGAAAAGACAAAAGUGAAUUGAAACAGUUCUCAAAAGUCAGAAACUGAAGCCCCAGGGCCCUGGGUUGGGGAAGUCAGGGUGUGGAAACUUCCUGUGUCAGAUGGAGCUGUUUUGCUGUCCCAACUUCUGCCUAGAGUCUGCUGUCCUAAUUGGUAUCUGCCCACUAUUUGAGGCAGGCCCCAAACUUCACUUCUUCACUCCCUACUAUCCAACCAUCUUUUUGACCAUUAUCAUGCACAUAUACUCUCUUAUCCUCCUUCCUCAUCUGCUCUCUCCAUUUUCAGAAUCAAAUCAAUUCUACUAUAGCUCCAGGAAAAGUGUGUCAACUCCCCUAUUUCUUCAUUCCCAGGAACUUUUAAGACCAAAGUGGCUAUUCCUGGUCACUCCUCCACUGUCUAUUAGAAUAUAUGUUCCUGGAAGGUUAGGAACUGUCUUAAAUAUUUGCAUCCCCAGGGCUCUAGAACAAUGUUUAUCAUUUGACCCUUAAGCAACUGGUGUUUUUUUCAUUCAUUUGUUCAAAAACCAAAUCAACGGGGAGAAAUCAAGUUUUAAAAAUAGCAUUCUUGGUAGAAAGCAUACUAAAGAGUAAAACUCUUUCAAGAGUUUAAUUUUCCCUUAUCACUGAAUCUUCUGUGAGCUGAGUAUUUACUUAUUUUCAUUUUCUUCGAGUUUUGUUUCCUACUCUGUCUCCUAAUCAAUAGCUUAGGUGGGUAGAGUGAAAGUUAAAUUUACAUUCACUUGUUUCUAUACCAACUAUCUCAGAUUCAUCUUCUGUCUGAUAUACAAUCUUUCAAAACAUCCUUGACCCUUGCCAGUUAGACCAGCUUUAAGAUACCAGGGUUCAUUGAAGUUAUCUUCAAGAAUAACUUUCGCUAUUUUGAUUUUUGUCUUACAUGCUGACUUUUAAAACCUAAUUUCUAGUAAAACUACUCCACUGGAUUAUUUCUAGAAGGUUUAUCAAUGAAGAAAAGAACAGAGAUAGGAGGAAGAGGGGUACUGAUUGAGGUUAACCGAGUGACAUGCUGGAUACAUCAAAACAGAAUUAUAGGCAACAAUAGGAAAUAAGAGAGUGAAGAGCCACUGAAUAUUACAGUAGAGAGGAAAAACUGAGUAUGCACAAGAAUGAUGAUGAAAAGAUGAUAAAGAGUCCAAAGGAUAUGAAAUCAAAAGGUCCAGAUGGAAGUGGAUCCCUGGGAAGAGAGAAUUAUCUCUUCUUGUGACAUAGGAGAAGAGGAUGGCUAAAGAUGAGAUUUUGAGGUAUGAAGGAAGUUAAAGAGGCACCAAUAAAACAGUAAAAUCAGAUUUUGGGAGCUAUCCAGGUCAGGAGAUGGACAAAGACAAAUGAAAAGUUGAGGAGGCAAGGGAUUCUAGGAUUCUAAAGAACGAAUACCAUUUAAGUAGCUCAGACUGGAGAAAACCUGAAAGAAAGACGAUCAAGUUUUGAUGAGGGUGAAGAGCUAGAGGGCCUCCUUCACGGGCUCUAGAACUGAAGAGGAUUCCCUAACCCAAGAAAAACUGAAGGUGGCUGAUCUCCUGCAGUCACCACAAUUACAGACCCCUGGCCUGAGGAGCUCCUAAGAUCCAUACUCAGGAGUAGCAUCACAAGAGGGAAGUGUGUGUGUUAAAUUUUUACUUACUUUUUAAAUUUUAUUUUUAAUUUGUGGAAUAAAACAAAUAUUUCCAUAACACAGUACAAUACGUGUCUUGAGGGAGGGUGGAGGGUACCAGGAAAACCCUGUCCAAAAAUAUGUCUACCUGCCUCUGGAAUGACACCAAUAUAAUAUUCAUUAUUUGGGUCUAAAACUAUUAUUUUUAUAUCUUUUCUAUAUAGAUCGGGAUCUAAAUUAGAAUUCAUCUCAACCUAAAGUCUUUUACCAUGUUCUUUGAUGCUGUAUCUUAGGGACCACUGUGCUUUCCAUCUGACUUGCAACUGAAAAUUACUAAGCAUGUUGUUUCUUAUUAAAAU
Sarcophilus harrisii (Tasmanian devil) is the source of this 7060-nucleotide long non-coding RNA. RefSeq lists it as uncharacterized. Lineage: Eukaryota; Metazoa; Chordata; Mammalia; Dasyuromorphia; Dasyuridae. The transcript has 3 exons. The record is from RefSeq and is a predicted model, not a curated record.